ACCGCACCGGUGACGGCGAUGAUGGUUAUGGCGCCUAAGGAUGAUGAAGAGUCUUGAGAUGGUUGAUACACGGCUGAGAUUGAUGGAGAUUGUGGUCUGAUCGUCUGUGGAGAUGACCAUGGAGGUAGCUGUGGAGAUAUGGUGUAGUAAUCAGGUUCUUGAUAGCAGUUAUAAGGGCAAACCGGGUCACAGAUUCCUAUUGAGCAAUCAAAUGUUUUGUUUGUCUCCGAUGCUAAUAUUGGGAAGAGCUUUCUAUGUUUCUUCUUGGCCAUUAAAGAAAAAUGGUAUUGUUUCUUGGUGUCCAAGGAACUAAGAUCAAGAGAAAUUGCAAGGGCAUGUGAGAACUGAAAUGUUCAUAGAAAUUUCGGUUUUUGACAAUGUAGAAGAUGGUUUGAUUUUAUCUUUGGUGUUUCUUUCACAUUCAAGAGAAAGGAAGAUGAAAAUGUCUUCUCAUCUUAGGUAAUUGACUUGUUCUGUGACAAGUUGAAGCAUCUUCUAAUUGUUUAAUUGGUGGUGAGUCUUAGUCAUGAAAGCCAUAUAUUACCUUUGAGCUUUUGACUCUUUGGCUUUUGAAGACUUAAGUAAUGUUUAUCCUUUGUUGGCCUUCGGCAGACUAUAAUAUAUAAAUAUAUCCCCUAUACAUUAAUCAUAGAGCAUUACAACAUGUUUUCGUAGCCACGUGUCAUCACGAAAAUGAUUCUUAGAAUUGUUAGAAAAAUAAGUUGGUCCAUAUAAACAUAUUAUAUGCUUUUUAUUAAACUAAUUAUCAAAUUAAUCCCCUAUAUAUUAAUUGAGGAACAUUUGAAAAGAUGUAAUCUCAAUUUUGUAAUAAUUAAAAAAGACCUCUUGCUUAUGUGUCAAUCAAUUAGGUAGUUAAUUAGUCAUACGUAUCAGCCUUACAUUGAAAUUGAAAAACAAGUUGGUCCAAUUCGAUUUUUAUAUCUCACUAGAAACAUUUAAUAUCAACUAUAUAAUAUCAUAUGAUAUUUAUUAAAGCAAGGUGGCUAUUUAUUAUAUAUUAUUUCCUUAAAUAAAACCUACGGAAUUACCUAAUGUGAUUAUGAUAUAUAUAGUAAUUAAUGAUUUUAAAUAAUGAAGAUUUGCUAAUAAUCUGUAUGCUUUCUAUCAUUUUUGUUUAAUUAUUUACUAUUAAAAUAAAUUACACAAUUACAUUAAUCAUAUAUUAAAAAUUUAAAUUUUUUUGUAUAUGUUGUAUUUUGAAAUUUUCAAAACGAGUAUAAAUUACUAAAACUGUUAAAAGUCUCACAUAAACUUUUGUGAUCAAUGUUUAAAUUUUUUUCUAUAGUAAGAUACAAUGAUAAUAAAAUCAUAUAAAUAAAUAAUUUUAUUUUAAUAGGUGUUUAUGUUAAUAUAUAUAUAUACACUUCAUAUCGUUUAAAUUUAAUUAUAUAUCAUAUACGAUAGAUAAGACUGAUUGUUUUGAUUUAUUUAUUCUAAAAUGAUUGCGAAUAAACAAGAACGGUCAUUUGAUUUAUAUGUGCAAGCCAAUUUAUUACAUAAUAGUAACUGAUUUCUUAGUUAUUUAAUAUAUAAUUAUUAUUUUAUUAUUUCAUAAUAUGCAGAAAAAUAUAAAAUAAGUAUUUAUUCUGCACAAGGCGCAUAUCUUAACCUAAAUAUGUAUCUCUUUAAUAAUUUUGAAUCUUAAACAUUUUCUAAAUCUCAGGCCAAAAUAAAAGAAAGAAAUGAGAAUAAACUCAAAAAUUAAUAUUUAUAUCGAGCAAUAACCAAAAUGACACAAAAAUGAGAAAAAUAUCGAAGAUAGAUAGGAUUGGCACGUGAACGUAAACUUCUCAUAACCAUCAUUAACUUUUAAAUUACUAAAUCAUAAUAUAAAACCGAGCUGACAUAGUUUCAUUGUAACCAAAUAGUAGGCAUGAGAUAUUUCGACCUAAACGUUAGGUUUUUAUGCGAUAAAUAAUUUUUUGACCUAAAAUAUUUUUAAAAAUGAGAUCAGUAUAACUUGCUCAUCCGCCUCUGUUUCGAACCCACCACCGUCGUUAACCUCGUUUACAGCUCCAAUUUCAAUCCUUACAUCUGAACUCUGAUCUGUGUUACUUGAACUCAACGUCUCUUUAGAACCAGAUUCAUCAUUCUCGACCUCUCCACGAUCAUCAUCAACCACACGAGAUCCUGAUCCUCCGGGAGGUACAUCAACCGGACCAGAACACCGUGGAGUACUGAUAGCUAUACCAGCUCGACACAAAGGACAGUUUGUAUGAGACCUAAGCCACGUGUCAAUACAAAAGAUGUGAAACGCAUGGUUGCAUUUAGGCAACAACCUAAGACUCUCAUCUUCUUCAAACUCGUUUAAACAGACAGGACAGUCUGUUCUCUCUAUCAAGCCAUCUCCUCUCUUGUAACUACAGAUCGUGAUCGAGUUUAUGAUCGAUUGUUGCAGACCUGUUGUCCUGAUCAACCAGAUCGGAUGAUCUACUUGCUCCGUGUCUUGAAACUCUUCAUCUAUUGCACCGUCGUGGCCGUCUCUCUGGGACUGAUAACUUUCGAGGUUGACUCUGUUAACGCUCUUUGUAACGUAUUUGGCUACAAGAAAGAAUCCUGUGAGAAGGAUGGCUAAGACCGCACCGGUGACGGCGAUGAUGGUUAUGGCGCCUAAGGAUGAUGAAGAGUCUUGAGAUGGUUGAUACACGGCUGAGAUUGAUGGAGAUUGUGGUCUGAUCGUCUGUGGAGAUGACCAUGGAGGUAGCUGUGGAGAUAUGGUGUAGUAAUCAGGUUCUUGAUAGCAGUUAUAAGGGCAAACCGGGUCACAGAUUCCUAUUGAGCAAUCAAAUGUUUUGUUUGUCUCUGAUGCUAAUAUUGGGAAGAGCUUUCUAUGUUUUCUCUUGGCCAUUAAAGAAAAAUGGUAUUGUUUCUUGGGGUA
RNAcentral lists this long non-coding RNA (2899 nucleotides) under Brassica napus (rape). RNAcentral's name for it is "long non-coding RNA (BNAP_LNC011195)". Lineage: Eukaryota; Viridiplantae; Streptophyta; Magnoliopsida; Brassicales; Brassicaceae. The record is from RNAcentral.